CACGUAGGGUGCGAGCGUUGUCCGGAAUUAUUGGGCGUAAAGAGCUCGUAGGCGGUGUGUCGCGUCGGCCGUGAAAACCUGCAGCUUAACUGUGGGCUUGCGGUCGAUACGGGCAUGACUGGAGUUCGGCAGGGGAGACUGGAAUUCCUGGUGUAGCGGUGAAAUGCGCAGAUAUCAGGAGGAACACCGGUGGCGAAGGUGGGUCUCUGGGCCGAUACUGACGCUGAGGAGCGAAAGCGUGGGGAGCGAACAGG
This 254-nucleotide ribosomal RNA is filed under the name uncultured bacterium. Its description in RNAcentral is "partial 16S ribosomal RNA". It matches the Rfam family "Bacterial small subunit ribosomal RNA", at positions 524 to 776 of the family's 1533-position model. The record is from RNAcentral.